UGCCAGUGAUAAACUGGAGGAAGGUGGGGAUGACGUCAAGUCAUCAUGGCCCUUACGAGUAGGGCUACACACGUGCUACAAUGGCGCAUACAAAGAGAAGCGACCUCGCGAGAGCAAGCGGACCUCAUAAAGUGCGUCGUAGUCCGGAUUGGAGUCUGCAACUCGACUCCAUGAAGUCGGAAUCGCUAGUAAUCGUGGAUCAGAAUGCCACGGUGAAUACGUUCCCGGGCCUUGUACACACCGCCCGUCACACCAUGGGAGUGGGUUGCAAAAGAAGUAGGUAGCUUAACCUUCGGGAGGGCGCUUACCACUUUGUGAUUCAUGACUGGGGUGAAGUCGUAACAAGGUAACCGUAGGGGAACCUGCGGUUGGAUCACCUCCUUA
RNAcentral lists this ribosomal RNA (384 nucleotides) under Citrobacter youngae. RNAcentral's name for it is "partial 16S ribosomal RNA". It matches the Rfam family "Bacterial small subunit ribosomal RNA", at positions 1150 to 1533 of the family's 1533-position model. Lineage: Bacteria; Pseudomonadati; Pseudomonadota; Gammaproteobacteria; Enterobacterales; Enterobacteriaceae. RNAcentral also lists the same sequence under 7 other names. The record is from RNAcentral.